RNAcentral lists this ribosomal RNA (254 nucleotides) under uncultured bacterium. RNAcentral describes it as "partial 16S ribosomal RNA". It matches the Rfam family "Bacterial small subunit ribosomal RNA", at positions 524 to 776 of the family's 1533-position model. The record is from RNAcentral.
GACGAACCGAGCGAACGUUGUUCGGAAUCACUGGGCUUAAAGGGCGCGUAGGCGGGCGGCCGCGUCCGGGGUGAAAUCCCACGGCUCAACCGUGGAACGGCCUCGGAUACGGGCGGCCUGGAGGCGGGUAGGGGCAGGCGGAACUGUGGGUGGAGCGGUGAAAUGCGUUGAGAUCCACAGGAACUCCGGUGGCGAAGGCGGCCUGCUGGACCCCGAACUGACGCUGAGGCGCGAAAGCCAGGGGAGCGAACGGG